Molecule: ribosomal RNA, 429 nt
Filed under: Bacillota bacterium
Lineage: Bacteria; Bacillati; Bacillota
Description: Firmicutes bacterium partial 16S ribosomal RNA
Rfam family: Bacterial small subunit ribosomal RNA
Source: RNAcentral
UAGGGAAUCUUCGGCAAUGGACGGAAGUCUGAUCGAGCAACGCCGCGUGAGUGAAGAAGGUUUUCGGAUCGUAAAGCCCUGUUGUUAGAGAAGAACGUUGGCAGGAGUGGCAAAUCUACCCAGUGACGGUAACUAACCAGAAAGGGACGGCUAACUACGUGCCAGCAGCCGCGGUAAUACGUAGGUCCCGAGCGUUGUCCGGAUUUAUUGGGCGUAAAGCGAGCGCAGGCGGUUCUUUAAGUCUGAAGUUAAAGGCAGUGGCUUAACCAUUGUACGCUUUGGAAACUGGAGGACUUGAGUGCAGAAGGGGAGAGUGGAAUUCCAUGUGUAACGGUGAAAUGCGUAGAUAUAUGGAGGAACACCGGUGGCGAAAGCGGCUCUCUGGUCUGUAACUGAAGCUGAGGCUCGAAAGCGUGGGGAGCAAACAGG